This 71-nucleotide transfer RNA is filed under the name Candidatus Omnitrophota bacterium. RNAcentral's name for it is "tRNA-Gln". It matches the Rfam family "tRNA". From Rfam's summary of the family: Transfer RNA (tRNA) molecules are approximately 80 nucleotides in length. Their secondary structure includes four short double-helical elements and three loops (D, anti-codon, and T loops). Lineage: Bacteria; Pseudomonadati; Candidatus Omnitrophota. The record is from RNAcentral.
UGCGGGGUGGUGUAAUGGUAGCACGUUAGGCUUUGAACCUAAAAAUGAAGGUCCGAUUCCUUCCCCCGCAG